Molecule: ribosomal RNA, 468 nt
Filed under: uncultured bacterium
Lineage: Bacteria
Description: partial 16S ribosomal RNA
Rfam family: Bacterial small subunit ribosomal RNA
Source: RNAcentral
GACGAACGCUGGCGGCGUGCUUAACACAUGCAAGUCGAACGGAAAGGCCCUGCUUUUGUGGGGUGCUCGCGUGGCGAACGGGUGAGUAACACGUGAGUAACCUGCCCUUGACUUUGGGAUAUCUUCAGGAAACUGGGGCUAAUACCGGAUAGGAGCUCCUGCUGCAUGGUGGGGGUUGGAAAGUUUCGGCGGUUGGGGAUGGACUCGCGGCUUAUCAGCUUGUUGGUGGGGUAGUGGCUUACCAAGGCUUUGACGGGUAGCCGGCCUGAGAGGGUGACCGGCCACAUUGGGACUGAGAUACGGCCCAGACGCCUACGGGAGGCAGCAGUGGGGAAUAUUGCACAAUGGGCGGAAGCCUGAUGCAGCAGCGCCGCGUGCGGGAUGACGGCCUUCGGGUUGUAAACCGCUUUCGCCUGUAACGAAGCGUGAGUGACGGUAAUGGGUAAAGAAGCACCGGCUAACUACGUG